Molecule: ribosomal RNA, 441 nt
Filed under: uncultured bacterium
Lineage: Bacteria
Description: partial 16S ribosomal RNA
Rfam family: Bacterial small subunit ribosomal RNA
Source: RNAcentral
CCUACGGGAGGCAGCAGUGGGGGAUAUUGCACAAUGGGGGGAACCCUGAUGCAGCGACGCCGCGUGGGUGAAGGAGUGCUUCGGCAUGUAAAGCCCUAUCGGCAGGGAAGAAGCAAGACGGUACCUGACUAAGAAGCCCCGGCUAACUACGUGCCAGCAGCCGCGGUAAUACGUAGGGGGCGAGCGUUAUCCGGAUUCACUGGGUGUAAAGGGAGCGUAGACGGCCAUGCAAGCCAGGGGUGAAAGCCCGGGGCCCAACCCCGGGACUGCCCUUGGAACUGUGCGGCUAGAGUGCGGGAGGGGCAGGCGGAAUUCCUGGUGUAGCGGUGAAAUGCGUAGAUAUCAGGAGGAACACCGGCGGCGAAGGCGGCCUGCUGGACUGCGACUGACGUUGAGGCUCGAAAGCGUGAGGAGCGAACAGGAUUAGAUACCCGGGUAGUC